GCAAAAUCAUCAUGUGAAACAAUUUACAACAGAAGACUAAAAUAAUGUUAAAGGAGCACUAGUAGAAGUAAUGAAGCAGCAGUCGUUUAAUCCAAGGUAGACUCACAAAGUGCCUUAACAAUACCGGUGUCUAUUUAGCAACUUCUAUUACAGAGUGGCUUCCAAGCUGUGGUCCCUUGUAUCCUCUUUGUUUACAUUUCACAAGUGCUAAUAAGGACCGUGGCGGAAGCUGGAAGCAGCAGAAGUUGGAGAACAAACUGAAGGUAUAGAUUUACCCACCCACUCCCAUAAAAGAAAAGAAAAAACAACUUAUUCAUGAUUGAGACUUUCGAAACACUUACUAUAGGGGUAUUGAUAAACAACACUUGUGCUGUCUUCAUUAUCUAAUACAACUGUAACACAAGGCUUAUCUUUCCCAGGAAUGUUAGGGUGUAUUUUAUAGCACAGACUAUUAAAUUUGGUAGUUACAUCUCCAUCCAUGAGGAACCAUUUGUUUAUUCUCUAUCUUAUUGAAACAACUUCAAUAUAAUUAGCGAUUUUGGGUUUCUCCAGCUAUGUGACUAUGACUUGCUCCAUAAAUAAAUCACAAGAGAUAUCAAGGCCGAGCUAGAAUAAACAAGUUGCCUUGUUAUUUCAAGCUAGAUAAAGCACUUCACUCGCUAAAGAAGAAACAGCAAUCAUAAUUACUGAAAUGUCAAGAGGUACAAGAAACGAACUGCUAAAUGAUACAGGGCAACAGAAUUCUAAAGGCAUUAUCAGCCUAUAGUCCUAUACCAUUGCUCUAUCCCACAUCCUAUAUUUUCAAGAUACACAGCACUCUGGAACAAAAUUCAAUAUAAAAUUUUGAACAUGAUGCAAGUGACGACCCAAAAAAUCAAAUAAAUGCCAAAGUUUGAAGCCUUAUUGGCCAGGAAGAAUCAAUUGUUCUUCCCAUAACUAAAAAUGUUAAAUGAAAAGAAAAUGAAAUGGCACAUCUAAGCAUACACUAUAAGACAUCCAAGCAAUGAUGACACAAACUAAUUACCGAUUCCUAUGAUUCUGUCUUGCAUAUAGACAGGGCCAUCCACAAUACAAUAUCACUACACUCACGAGGAUUUGAAUAGAAGAAAAUGAUCUUACAAAGAUCUCCUUUAUGAUCUUACAAAUAUCUCCUUGGUAUUAUUUACUGAUCUCCUGUGUUAUAUUUUACUAAUUCCUGUGAAACGGGUCAUAUAACUAUAUUAACGGGUCAUAUAACUAUAAUAACAUUUGUAAGCCAUAAGACUGAUCUCCCCUACACUCGCUAAAGAGUAUACUGAAGUGUCAUGAUCCCUAGGGCCCCAUUAUUUUCCAAUUCGAGUUUUAAUCUCCCUCUUCUUCAAGUAUCUACC
Molecule: long non-coding RNA, 1370 nt
Filed under: Nicotiana tabacum (common tobacco)
Lineage: Eukaryota; Viridiplantae; Streptophyta; Magnoliopsida; Solanales; Solanaceae
Description: long non-coding RNA (NTAB_LNC009554)
Source: RNAcentral